UACGUAGGGUCCGAGCGUUGUCCGGAUUUAUUGGGCGUAAAGAGCUCGUAGGCGGUUCCGUAAGUCAGAUGUGAAAACUCAGGGCUCAACCCGGAGACGCCAUCUGAUACUGCGGUGACUGGAGUCUGGUAGGGGAACACGGAAUUCCUGGUGUAGCGGUGAAAUGCGCAGAUAUCAGGAGGAACACCGAUGGCGAAGGCAGUGUUCUGGGCCAGUACUGACGCUGAGGAGCGAAAGCGUGGGGAGCAAACGGG
RNAcentral lists this ribosomal RNA (254 nucleotides) under uncultured bacterium. Its description in RNAcentral is "partial 16S ribosomal RNA". It matches the Rfam family "Bacterial small subunit ribosomal RNA", at positions 524 to 776 of the family's 1533-position model. The record is from RNAcentral.